GGAGAGCUUCCCGAGUGGUCUAAGGGGCAUGAUUGGAAAUCAUGUGUAGGAUUUCCUACCCAGGGUUCGAAUCCCUGGCUCUCCG
Molecule: transfer RNA, 85 nt
Filed under: Candidatus Coatesiibacteriota bacterium
Lineage: Bacteria; Candidatus Coatesiibacteriota
Description: Candidatus Coatesbacteria bacterium tRNA-Ser
Rfam family: tRNA
About the family: Transfer RNA (tRNA) molecules are approximately 80 nucleotides in length. Their secondary structure includes four short double-helical elements and three loops (D, anti-codon, and T loops).
Source: RNAcentral